Molecule: ribosomal RNA, 48 nt
Filed under: Fusarium solani
Lineage: Eukaryota; Fungi; Ascomycota; Sordariomycetes; Hypocreales; Nectriaceae
Description: partial 28S ribosomal RNA
Source: RNAcentral
GUUGACCUCGAAUCAGGUAGGAAUACCCGCUGAACUUAAGCAUAUCAU